RNAcentral lists this ribosomal RNA (253 nucleotides) under uncultured bacterium. RNAcentral's name for it is "partial 16S ribosomal RNA". It matches the Rfam family "Bacterial small subunit ribosomal RNA", at positions 524 to 776 of the family's 1533-position model. The record is from RNAcentral.
UACGGGGGAUGCAAGCGUUAUCCGGAAUUAUUGGGCGUAAAGCGCCUGUAGGUUGUUUAACAAGUCUGCUGUUAAAGACUGAGGCUUAACCUCAGAAAAGCGGCAGAAACUACUAGACUAGAGUGUGGCAGGGGUAGAGGGAAUUUCUAGUGUAGUGGUGAAAUAUGUAGAUAUUAGAAAGAACACCGAUGGCGAAAGCGCUCUACUGGACCACUACUGACACUGAGAGGCGAAAGCUAGGGGAGCAAAAGGG